Molecule: ribosomal RNA, 253 nt
Filed under: uncultured bacterium
Lineage: Bacteria
Description: partial 16S ribosomal RNA
Rfam family: Bacterial small subunit ribosomal RNA
Source: RNAcentral
GACAGAGGUGGCAAGCGUUGUCCGGAGUUACUGGGCGUAAAGGGCGCGGAGGCGGUCUGCGGCGUCGGCGCUGAAAGCGCCCCGCUUAACGGGGCGAGGCGUGCCGAUAUGCGCAGACUUGAGGCGAGCAGAGGGUGGUGGAAUUCCGGGUGGAGCGGUGAAAUGCGUAGAGAUCCGGAGGAACGCCAGUGGGGAAGCCGGCCACCGUGGCGCGGCCGGGAGCGGAGGAGAGAAAGAGUGGGGAGCAAACCGG